RNAcentral lists this long non-coding RNA (2402 nucleotides) under Sorghum bicolor (sorghum). Its description in RNAcentral is "long non-coding RNA (SBIC_LNC000796)". The record is from RNAcentral. Lineage: Eukaryota; Viridiplantae; Streptophyta; Magnoliopsida; Poales; Poaceae.
CUAGUAUCCUCGCUGAUCUUAAAUCCAAGCAAGCUAGCCUUCGCACUAUCCUAAGGGUUUUAGAAGACGACCUAGAAGAGAAGCAUACUGAGAUUAGGAACCUCAACGAUGAUAUCAAUAGGUUUCGUUUCAGGUUCAACAAUAAGCUGAGGAAGGUCGCUGAAAACCUAGGUGUUGGUUGCCUCGUGGAAAAUCUUUAGACCACAUCUGCUGCACGCUUCUCGUUGUUUUGGCACAAGCAUGAUCUUCUUUGUUGCUUAAUUUAUUUCCCUUCAAUAAUGUAACGUGCCUUUUCAAAGUUAUCAAUAAUAUUUUUGAGUUAUCAUGAGCACUUGUUUUCUUUAUAUAUUAUGACUAACCAUGACAGAGAAGAAAACAAGUGUGGGGGAGGGAAUCUUCGAGAACUCGGUUUGCACAACCUUCUCCCCUUCUAAAAAGUUUUUCGAAAAUAAAAUAUUUAAAAUAUCGUUACCUUCAAACUCCAUUUAACAUGUCUCCUAGUUUCAAAUUUGCUUUGCAUAUGGUUUAAUCCUUGCUAAUGUCCUUGAGGUUAUGAAUACUUGUAGUAGGAACCCCACUUUAUCUAAGUAAUUGACAUAUGUGAUAUAGUAGGAUGACAUGAUUCUUGCUAAGUUCUUACAAAGUACUUGGGAUUUAGUUUAUCAAAAACAAAAGUUACACAUGGCAAGUUUCCUUUAGUGGUUUUAAGCUUUCACCUACCAACGCCAAAUAUACUUUGAUCAUGAUGAAACCUUCAGUCAUAUGCUGCUUGUAGUAUGUUGAGCUUUGUCAAAUUGUUGUGACCCAAGCGAGAUUAUGGUCUUACGCCCAUGACUAGAGAUUCACUUACACCCACCAAAUAAAGCCGACUCUUACACUAAGAAGUCGCGCACAACAUGCACCCUUCCAUCCACCGAAAAUUUUGCCAACUCUUAUCCUGAGAGUUGUGCCUUAGCUUUCCACCAAAUAAAAAAUCCAAACUCUCAUCCUGAGAUUUGCGCAUCCCCAAAUUCACUCCUUACUUUUUGUCCUCAUGACAUCUCUUUAAUUUUCUUUGAUUCCAUUCAUCAAGACAAAUGUGCUAUAGUUGAAAAAAAUUCAAAGGAAAAAAAAAACCAAAGAGGGAUAGAUGGGAAAGAAAGAAAAAAAUCAAACGUCCCCGUCAUGAAAAAAAGAAAUGAGGGAAAAAUAUACACAAGAUAGAGCCCAUAUGUUUUCCUCUCUCUCUUUAUUUUAUCCUUCAAAAUAAAAGAGAGUCAUGAUGCAAAAAGGAGUGACCAAAAAUAUUUAGAAUUAGGAUUUCCAUCAAUUCCACAAACAAUUUUCACACAUUUGCACAAUCUCAAUCGAGGCGUAAGGCUUGUAUCUCCUGGUGGUCCGGUUUUUGACUUCGCAACAUAUGUGCUGCAAGUUUGCCCACCUUUUAUACCUACCCAAAAAUCCAGAUAAAGCUUUUAGAGGUAGGAAGAUCAUAAGAAGGCAUCAAUCUUCUAUGCCUUGGUAAGGAACCACUUACAUAUAUGAGCGAUUUGAGAGAAUCAUUCAAGGAAUCACAAGCCAUGUUUUUAUUUCAAAAUCUUACAAAAACACAAGUGUCUUAAGUAAGAGCAAAGUCAAGAGGACUUGAAUCCAGGUUGUUCCAUAUUUCAAUCACCAAAGAUUUAUGUUGUAGACACUUUGAAGUUCACAAACCCAUGUGAAGCUUGGAAUAACCUGUAUGCAGGCUCUUUGACAAUGGUGAUGAACCCAUUUGGUCCUAAGUGCCUUCACUCGAGGAUGAGCAAAGGACAAAGUGUGGGGGAGUUGUUGGCCACGCUUAUUAUAUAAAAAUAAAUAUCUUUUUAUAAAAAAAAUAAAUAUAAAAUAGAGCUUUGAUCUAAUCUUUCCACGAGUUUUGGUAUAUACGCUAUUUUCAGGUAUGACACGUGGAAAAGUGCAAAAGAUACAAGAAAUGUGCAAUGCAAGAAUUCGUAUUUAGAAAAGACGCAGACCAACUCCAAUAGAGAAAAGCCCACAAAAGAUGAAUUGGACCCAUCCGUAACCACGAGGAGGAUCAGGGCCCAGAGCACAACCGACCACGCGAAGGUAGUGGCCAUAGUUAUCAUGCAAGCUAACACUAGGAGUGUUACAUAUAUCUUUAGCUAUAGGAGGUGUAAAUGCCUCAAGAGAGAACCAUAAAUACCACAUACACUGAGAGACUUGAGGGUGUCAUACAAUUAAGCUCUGAGAUUUAUUCUAAAAACUUAUAAAAACUCUAGAAUAAUGGUUUUGCAAAGAAUUUGAGACAUAUGGCUUGACCUGAUUGUUCUAUCUUCUAAUUGCUCAAGACUCAUUCAAAAGCUGUAAAGCCCCAUGGUUAAAGGUAAAUGUGUAAGUUUGAAGAUUAGAGCAAGUAUUGACUA